GAUGAACGCUGGCGGCGUGCUUAACACAUGCAAGUCGAGCGGAAAGGCGAGGAGCUUGCUGGUCGCACGUGAGCGGCGGACGGGUGAGUCACACGUGGAUCACCUACCUAUAAGACUGAGAUAACUUGGGGAAUCGGGAGCUAACAGCGGAUGAGAUAUUGAACCGCAGGGGUCUUUGGAGAAAGACGGUUUUGCGGUCACUUAUCGAUGGAUCCGCGCCGCAUUAGCUAGUUGGUAAGGUAACGGCUUACCAAGGCGACGAUGCGUAGCCGACGUGAGAGGGUGGUCGGCCACACGGGAACUGGGACACCGUCCAGACUCCUACGGGAGGCAGCAGUAGGGAACCGUCCGCAAUGGGCGAAAGCCUGACGCAGCAACGGCGCGUGAGUGAUGAAGGUCUUCGGAUCGUAAAACUCGGUUACUAGGUAAGAACAAGUUUGUAAGUAACUAUGCACUUCUUGACGGUACCGAGUCAGAAAGCCACGGCUAACUACGUG
Molecule: ribosomal RNA, 497 nt
Filed under: uncultured bacterium
Lineage: Bacteria
Description: partial 16S ribosomal RNA
Rfam family: Bacterial small subunit ribosomal RNA
Source: RNAcentral